GGUCAAGUUAUUAAGGGUGCAGGGCGGAUGCCUUGGCACUAGGAGCCGAUGAAGGACGUGAUAAGCUGCGAUAAGCUUCGGGGAGUUGCACGUAAACUUUGAUCCGAAGAUUUCCGAAUGAGGAAACUCACUUAGAGUAAUGUCUAAGUAUCAUUAAGUGAAUACAUAGCUUAAUGAGGGGAACUCAGGGAACUGAAACAUCUAAGUACCUGAAGGAAGAGAAAGAAAUUCGAUUCCGUAAGUAGCGGCGAGCGAACGCGGAUUAGCCCAAACCAAUAAAGUUUUCUUUAUUGGGGUUGCGGACAUAUCAUAACGAAGAGGUAUCGUAAUUGAAGAGGUUUGGAAAGACCCACCACAGAAGGUAAUAGUCCUGUAUGUUAAACGAGAAGACUUUAGAUAUGAUCCAGAGUACCACGGGACACGUGAAACCCUGUGGGAAGCAGGAGGGACCACCCUCCAAGGCUAAAUACUACCUAGUGACCGAUAGCGUAUAGUACCGUGAGGGAAAGGUGAAAAGAACCCCGGGAGGGGAGUGAAAUAGAACCUGAAACCCUGCACUUACAAGCUGUGGAAGCACAUUUCUUGUGUGACCGCGUACUUUUUGUAGAACGGGCCAACGAGUUACGUUAAGUAGCAAGGUUAAGCACUUAAGGUGCGGAGCCGUAGCGAAAGCGAGUUUUAACUGAGCGUUCAGUUACUUGACGUAGACCCGAAACCGGGCGACCUACCCAUGAGCAGGAUGAAGCGAAAGUAAAAUUUCGUGGAGGUCCGAACCCACGAGCGUUGAAAAGCUCGGGGAUGACUUGUGGGUAGCGGUGAAAUUCCAAUCGAGCCCGGAGAUAGCUGGUUCUCCCCGAAAUAGCUUUAGGGCUAGCCUCAAGGUGAGAGAUACGGAGGUAGAGCACUGAAUGUCCUAGGGGGUAUUGCACCUACCGAAGACUAUCAAACUCCGAAUGCCGUCAUCUUAUACUUGGGAGUCAGACUGUGGGUGAUAAGAUUCAUAGUCGAAAGGGCAACAGCCCAGAUCGUCAGCUAAGGUCCCUAAAUGUAAGUUAAGUGGUAAAGGAUGUGGGAUUGCACAGACAACCAGGAUGUUGGCUUAGAAGCAGCCACUCAUUCAAAGAGUGCGUAAUAGCUCACUGGUCGAGUGAUCCUGCGCCGAAGAUUUCCGGGGCUAAAACUUACUACCGAAGCUACGGCAUCAGUAAUGAUGGGUAGGGGAGCUUCCCAUACGGGUUGAAGCAUGACCGUAAGGACAUGUGGACAGUAUGGGAGUGAGAAUGUUGGCAUGAGUAGCGAGAUGUGGGUGAGAAUCCCACAGGCCGUAAACCCAAGGUUUCCAGGGGAAGGUUCGUCCGCCCUGGGUUAGUCGGGACCUAAGCUGAGGCCGAAAGGCGUAGGUGAUGGACAACAGGUUGAUAUUCCUGUACUACCGAUAACCGUUUGAGAGAUGGGAUGACACAGUAGGAUAAGCUAAGCACACUGUUGGUUAUGUGUGCCCAAGCAUUGAGGCAGUCAAAGUAGGCAAAUCCGCUUUGAUAAUGCUGGGAUGUGAUGGGGAGCGAAAUUUAGUAGCGAAGUAGCUGAUUUCACACUGUCAAGAAAAGUCUCUAUCGAGGUUAAAGGUACCCGUACCGCAAACCGACACAGGUGGGUGAGGAGAGUAUCCUAAGGCCAGCGAGAGAACUGUUGUUAAGGAACUCGGCAAAAUGACCCCGUAACUUAGGGAUAAGGGGUGCCACCAUCAGGUGGCCGCAGAGAAUAGGCCCAAGCGACUGUUUACCAAAAACAUAGGUUUCUGCUAAGUCGCAAGACGAUGUAUAGGAGCUGACGCCUGCCCGGUGCUGGAAGGUUAAGGGGAUCUGUUAGAGCAAUCGAAGCAGUGAACUUAAGCCCCAGUAAACGGCGGCCGUAACUAUAACGGUCCUAAGGUAGCGAAAUUCCUUGUCGGGUAAGUUCCGACCCGCACGAAAGGCGUAACGAUUUGGGCACUGUCUCAACAACAGACUCGGUGAAAUUGUAAUUCCGGUGAAGAUGCCGGAUACCUGCGACAGGACGGAAAGACCCCAUGGAGCUUUACUGUAGCUUGACAUUGGGUCUUGGUACUACAUGUACAGGAUAGGUGGGAGGCUUUGAAACCAGGACGCCAGUUUUGGCGGAGCCAUCCUUGGGAUACCACCCUUGUA
RNAcentral lists this ribosomal RNA (2186 nucleotides) under Clostridioides difficile. RNAcentral's name for it is "partial 23S ribosomal RNA". It matches the Rfam family "Bacterial large subunit ribosomal RNA", at positions 1 to 2210 of the family's 2925-position model. Lineage: Bacteria; Bacillati; Bacillota; Clostridia; Peptostreptococcales; Peptostreptococcaceae. The record is from RNAcentral.